RNAcentral lists this ribosomal RNA (902 nucleotides) under Bretziella fagacearum. RNAcentral describes it as "LSU rRNA". It matches the Rfam family "Eukaryotic large subunit ribosomal RNA", at positions 38 to 964 of the family's 3401-position model. Lineage: Eukaryota; Fungi; Ascomycota; Sordariomycetes; Microascales; Ceratocystidaceae. The record is from RNAcentral.
GCAUAUCAAUAAGCGGAGGAAAAGAAACCAACAGGGAUUGCCCUAGUAACGGCGAGUGAAGCGGCAACAGCUCAAAUUUGAAAUCUGGCUACUUUUGUAGUCCCGAGUUGUAAUUUGUAGAGGAUGCUUUUGGUGAGGUGCUUUCUGAGUUCCCUGGAACGGGACGCCAAAGAGGGUGAGAGCCCCGUACAGUUAGAUACCAAACCUUUGUAUAGCUCCUUCGACGAGUCGAGUAGUUUGGGAAUGCUGCUCUAAAUGGGAGGUAUAUCUCUUCUAAAGCUAAAUAUAGGCUAGAGACCGAUAGCGCACAAGUAGAGUGAUCGAAAGAUGAAAAGCACUUUGAAAAGAGAGUUAAACAGCACGUGAAAUUGUUGAAAGGGAAGCGCCUAUGACCAGACUUGUCUCUAUCAGUUUUGGUAGUUUUCGGACUGCUUUACUCUGUUAGUACAGGCCAACAUCAGUUUGUUGUUGGGGAGAAAGGCUUAGGGAAUGUGGCUCCUUUCGUGGGAGUGUUAUAGCCCUUUGCAUAAUACCCUUCGGCAGACUGAGGACCGCGCUUCGGCAAGGAUGUUGGCGUAAUGGUCAUCAGCGACCCGUCUUGAAACACGGACCAAGGAGUCAACCUUAUGUGCAAGUGUUUGGGUGUAAAACCCCAGCGCGUAAUGAACGUGAACGUAGGUGAGAGCUUCGGCGCAUCAUCGACCGAUUCUGAUGUUCUCGGAUGGAUUUGAGUAAGAGCACACAGGGUUGGACCCGAAAGAAGGUGAACUAUGCUUGUAUAGGGUGAAGCCAGAGGAAACUCUGGUGGAGGCUCGCAGCGGUUCUGACGUGCAAAUCGAUCGUCAAAUAUGAGCAUGGGGGCGAAAGACUAAUCGAACCUUCUAGUAGCUGGUUCCAGCCGA